AACAACUCGCCAGAAUCAAAGUGUUUCCGUUCAAUUUGUCCGGAAAACACUUGCCUCUAUCGAAUCUAUUUCGAACCAAACCCCCACCUUUAGAACUCGCCGGAAGAUUUGGCCGGAAAACAUCUGCCCCCGUCGAAACUACCUUUGACCAGUCCGCACCCUUAGAUCUCGCCGGAAGAACGUAAGUUCCCCGCAGUCGACGUUCUCGCCAGAAAACCGUGGUUGAAGGACGCAAGGGCUGAAGAUCCUCCAUUAUUAACGAAUGCCGAAGGGCUGGGGUUCUUCAAGAACUUUGCGGCGGCAAAGAGAAAUUGGUGAUGGAGGAGGAGAUAUUCAUGAAGGCGGAGAGAGAAUAACCUCUGCUAUGGACGGUAUCACCGGCGAGAAGAGUGGAUGAGGCAGUUGGUGGUAGAAAAGGGGAGGCGGUGGAAGAAGUUUGGGGAAGAAGAC
Molecule: long non-coding RNA, 450 nt
Filed under: Erythranthe guttata (spotted monkey flower)
Lineage: Eukaryota; Viridiplantae; Streptophyta; Magnoliopsida; Lamiales; Phrymaceae
Description: long non-coding RNA (EGUT_LNC003792)
Source: RNAcentral